GCUGGGUGCUGUGGUGCACGCCUGUAAUCCCAGUGGCUCAGGGAGGCUGAGGCAGGAGGAUCGCUGAGUUCAAAACUAGCCUCAGCAAAACUGAGGCGCUUAGCAACCCAGUGAGACCCUGUCUCUA
RNAcentral lists this small RNA (127 nucleotides) under Marmota monax (woodchuck). The record is from RNAcentral. Lineage: Eukaryota; Metazoa; Chordata; Mammalia; Rodentia; Sciuridae.